GGGAAUAUAGCGUAGUUGGUUAGCGUGUUGGCCUGUCACGCCAAAGGUCACGGGUUCAAGUCCCGUUAUUCUCG
RNAcentral lists this transfer RNA (74 nucleotides) under Mychonastes homosphaera. RNAcentral's name for it is "tRNA-Asp". It matches the Rfam family "tRNA". From Rfam's summary of the family: Transfer RNA (tRNA) molecules are approximately 80 nucleotides in length. Their secondary structure includes four short double-helical elements and three loops (D, anti-codon, and T loops). Lineage: Eukaryota; Viridiplantae; Chlorophyta; Chlorophyceae; Sphaeropleales; Mychonastaceae. The record is from RNAcentral.